CUACGGGAGGCAGCAGUGGGGAAUCUUGCGCAAUGGGCGAAAGCCUGGCGCAGCCAUGCCGCGUGAAUGAUGAAGGUCUUAGGAUUGUAAAAUUCUUUCACCGGGGACGAUAAUGACGGUACCCGGAGAAGAAGCCCCGGCUAACUUCGUGCCAGCAGCCGCGGUAAUACGAAGGGGGCUAGCGUUGCUCGGAAUUACUGGGCAUAAAGGGAGCGUAGGCGGACAUUUAAGUCAGGGGUGAAAUCCCGGGGCUCAACCUCGGAAUUGCCUUUGAUACUGGGUGUCUUGAGUAUGAGAGAGGUGUGUGGAACUCCGAGUGUAGAGGUGAAAUUCGUAGAUAUUCGGAAGAACACCAGUGGCGAAGGCGACACACUGGCUCAUUACUGACGCUGAGGCUCGAAAGCGUGGGGAGCAAACAGGAUUAGAUACCCUGGUAGUCCACGCCGUAAACGAUGAUUGCUAGUUGUCGGGAUGCAUGCAUUUCGGUGACGCAGCUAACGCAUUAAGCAAUCCGCCUGGGGAGUACGGUCGCAAGNUUAAAACUCAAAGGAAUUGACGG
Molecule: ribosomal RNA, 559 nt
Filed under: uncultured bacterium
Lineage: Bacteria
Description: bacterial SSU rRNA
Rfam family: Bacterial small subunit ribosomal RNA
Source: RNAcentral